This 971-nucleotide long non-coding RNA is filed under the name Chinchilla lanigera (long-tailed chinchilla). Its description in RNAcentral is "lncRNA (ENSCLAG00000023839.1)". The record is from RNAcentral. Lineage: Eukaryota; Metazoa; Chordata; Mammalia; Rodentia; Chinchillidae.
CGAUUUAAACCUCUCUGAAAGACCUGAGCACCUGUUCCUUGGCACGAGCUGAGGACCAGACUAUUGCCCUACCACAGCUGAGGGCUGCCAUCUGGAACAGGGAUCAGUGCACCCUUUCCUGAAAACUCUUCAGCUGUACAUCACUACUGCUCACCUCUGUCCUAGAGGUCUGGAAGCAGCUGUAGAUACUCCACGCAGGAAUGAGCAUGGCCAGGUUCUAACAAAACUUUAAGGACACAAAAAUUAAUUUCAUGUAUUUUUAGCUUGUCAUAAAAUAUUUUUAUUUUUUAAAAUGUGUGUUUAUGGGUAUAAGAAUCUAGCAACCAUUCAUAUUUGUCCUUGGGGCUGUAGUUUCCCUAGCUGAUUUUCAACUGAUUCUGAGAUGACAUCCAAUGUCUCUUGGUGUUUCCACAGCAAGUGUUCAGCCAAUACUAAACAGCAGUGCCCUGUAACAUGGUCAGCAAGGUGGGUUGUGACUGUUCUACUGUAUGCUACCUGUUUGCAGAGAGUUGAUUCUCCUGCAUUUCUGGGCUGGAGGAGGAACUACUGUUGAGGGAACAUUGGUUUCAUGCUGCAUAAAUACAUACACACUGAGGCUCAAACUCAGGGUGUUGCUCACACUAACACCGUCACUGAGCUUCUUCUCCAGCCUUGGGUCUACAUCUUUACAGAAACAGUUCCUUGGCCAUGCAGUCCUAGGGUACGGAAGUGUUCUGACUUUAUGUCCUGGAGUUGAGAGGCCUUCAAGGGUUGGCCCAGGGAGAUGUGGCAAGGCUGAUUGUAUUUGGGAUCACCUUUUCCACCUGAUUUAAGACACAUGCACAUGGUGUCCCACCUGUCAAGACCCUGUGAUUGGCCAUACUGCACAAAGAAAAUUCUGGAGUCUCUCCCUCAUCACUUGUGAACAUUCACAGUGGGUGUGUACCGUGUGUGUCCCAGUGCUGCUUGUGGUAAGUUGCACAUUAUGUCCC